Molecule: ribosomal RNA, 496 nt
Filed under: uncultured bacterium
Lineage: Bacteria
Description: partial 16S ribosomal RNA
Rfam family: Bacterial small subunit ribosomal RNA
Source: RNAcentral
AUGAACGCUGGCGGCGUGCCUAAUACAUGCAAGUCGAGCGAACAGACGAGGAGCUUGCUCCUCUGACGUUAGCGGCGGACGGGUGAGUAACACGUGGAUAACCUACCUAUAAGACUGGGAUAACUUCGGGAAACCGGAGCUAAUACCGGAUAAUAUAUUGAACCGCAUGGUUCAAUAGUGAAAGACGGUUUUGCUGUCACUUAUAGAUGGAUCCGCGCCGCAUUAGCUAGUUGGUAAGGUAACGGCUUACCAAGGCAACGAUGCGUAGCCGACCUGAGAGGGUGAUCGGCCACACUGGAACUGAGACACGGUCCAGACUCCUACGGGAGGCAGCAGUAGGGAAUCUUCCGCAAUGGGCGAAAGCCUGACGGAGCAACGCCGCGUGAGUGAUGAAGGUCUUCGGAUCGUAAAACUCUGUUAUUAGGGAAGAACAAAUGUGUAAGUAACUAAGCACGUCUUGACGGUACCUAAUCAGAAAGCCACGGCUAACUACGUG